RNAcentral lists this ribosomal RNA (500 nucleotides) under uncultured bacterium. Its description in RNAcentral is "partial 16S ribosomal RNA". It matches the Rfam family "Bacterial small subunit ribosomal RNA", at positions 30 to 523 of the family's 1533-position model. The record is from RNAcentral.
AUUGAACGCUGGCGGAAUGCUUUACACAUGCAAGUCGAACGGCGGCACGGACUUCGGUCUGGUGGCGAGUGGCGAACGGGUGAGUAAUGUAUCGGAACGUGCCCAGUCGUGGGGGAUAACGUAGUGAAAAUUACGCUAAUCCCGCAUACGAUCCAUGGAUGAAAGCGGGGGAUCGCAAGACCUCGCGCGAUUGGAGCGGCCGAUAUCAGAGUAGGUAGUUGGUGGGUUAAAGGCCCACCAAGCCAACGAUCUGUAGCUGGUCUGAGAGGACGACCAGCCACACUGGAACUGAGACACGGUCCAGACUCCUACGGGAGGCAGCAGUGGGGAAUUUUGGACAAUGGGCGAAAGCCUGAUCCAGCCAUUCCGCGUGCAGGAUGAAGGCCCUCGGGUUGUAAACUGCUUUUGUACAGAACGAAAAGGUUUCUACUAAUACUAGGAGCUCAUGACGGUACUGUAAGAAUAAGCACCGGCUAACUACGUGCCAGCCGCCGCCGUAA